Molecule: transfer RNA, 83 nt
Filed under: Clostridia bacterium
Lineage: Bacteria; Bacillati; Bacillota; Clostridia
Description: tRNA-Leu
Rfam family: tRNA
About the family: Transfer RNA (tRNA) molecules are approximately 80 nucleotides in length. Their secondary structure includes four short double-helical elements and three loops (D, anti-codon, and T loops).
Source: RNAcentral
GCAGGUGUGGCGGAACGGUAGACGCGCCGGUCUUAGGAACCGGUAUCUUCGAUGUGCAGGUUCAAGUCCUGUCACCUGCACCA